AUUGAACGCUGGCGGCAGGCCUAACACAUGCAAGUCGAACGAGUGGCGGACGGGUGAGUAAUGUCUGGGAAACUGCCUGAUGGAGGGGGAUAACUACUGGAAACGGUAGCUAAUACCGCAUACCAUCAGAUGUGCCCAGAUGGGAUUAGCUAGUUGGGGGGGUAACGGCUCACCAAGGCGACGAUCCCUAGCUGGUCUGAGAGGCGGACCGGCAAAACUGGAACUGAAAAAGGUUCCAGACUCCUAGGGGGGGAAGCAGUGGGGAAGAUUGAACAAGGGGGGCAAGCCUGAUGCAGCCAUGCCGGGUGUAUGAAGAAGGCUUUCGGGUGUAAAGUACUUUCAGCGGGGAGGCGUUACCCGCAGAAGAAGCACCGGCUAACUCCGUGCCAGCAGCCGCGGUAAUAC
Molecule: ribosomal RNA, 405 nt
Filed under: uncultured bacterium
Lineage: Bacteria
Description: partial 16S ribosomal RNA
Rfam family: Bacterial small subunit ribosomal RNA
Source: RNAcentral